Molecule: ribosomal RNA, 429 nt
Filed under: Bacteroidota bacterium
Lineage: Bacteria; Pseudomonadati; Bacteroidota
Description: Bacteroidetes bacterium partial 16S ribosomal RNA
Rfam family: Bacterial small subunit ribosomal RNA
Source: RNAcentral
UAGGGAAUCUUCGGCAAUGGGGGGAACCCUGACCGAGCAACGCCGCGUGCGUGAAGAAGGUUUUCGGAUCGUAAAGCUCUGUUGUUAUGGAAGAACGAGUGUGAGAAUGGAAAGUUCAUGCUGUGACGGUACUUAACCAGAAAGGGACGGCUAACUACGUGCCAGCAGCCGCGGUAAUACGUAGGUCCCGAGCGUUGUCCGGAUUUAUUGGGCGUAAAGCGAGCGCAGGCGGUUAGAAAAGUCUGAAGUGAAAGGCAGUGGCUCAACCAUUGUAGGCUUUGGAAACUGUUUAACUUGAGUGCAGAAGGGGAGAGUGGAAUUCCAUGUGUAACGGUGAAAUGCGUAGAUAUAUGGAGGAACACCGGUGGCGAAAGCGGCUCUCUGGUCUGUAACUGACGCUGAGGCUCGAAAGCGUGGGGAGCGAACAGG